This 119-nucleotide ribosomal RNA is filed under the name Pogona vitticeps (central bearded dragon). The record is from RNAcentral. Lineage: Eukaryota; Metazoa; Chordata; Lepidosauria; Squamata; Agamidae.
UUAUGUGAUCAAAGCACCCUGAAUAUGCCAAUCACAGCUGAUUUUGGAAGCUAAGAAGCGUUGGGCCUUGUUAGAAAUCGGAUGAAGGAUCCCAAGGAAAUACCAGAGACCCGCAGGUA